Molecule: long non-coding RNA, 553 nt
Organism: Bradysia coprophila
Lineage: Eukaryota; Metazoa; Arthropoda; Insecta; Diptera; Sciaridae
Source: RefSeq, a predicted model, not a curated record
AAAAAGUUGUAAAUAGGUCAACUGUUACUGCCCGCGUUCAGUUCCAUUUCAAACACCGAAAAUGUACAAGCAAAUUGUUCUCGUCCUAUGUGUGCUCAUAACUGCCGCCACUGCCUUAACUGGGUGGAGAAAUUGCGGUUCUAAUAUGGCAACUCUGCACACCGUUCGAAUGACCAAUUGUACGCAGACACCAUGCAGGUUUGUGAGAGGAAACAACUAUGAGGCUGAGCUCGACGGCACCUGGCGCGCCAAUAGCCACAGUUUGCCACUCGUUCUGUCGGUUGUGAUCUUCGGCAUUCCAGUUAAUAUCCUCGAAGGAGAUGCAUGCGAUUACAAAACGAGAGGAAAUUGCCCGGCCCUAAACAACGCUGAUUUCACUUUUCGUAGUUUCUAUCCCAUACCGGAGAAUCUGCCAGCGGUAUCUACCGUUGCACGGGGUACCAUACUCAAUGAUUUUGGUGACGUUGCCGUAUGCUUAGAGAUAGAUGUAACACUUGUUUAGUGUGCGGUCUUUUCUUAAAAUUAUGUGAUAUUAAAAAUGGAAUGAUCUAAA